RNAcentral lists this ribosomal RNA (1674 nucleotides) under Glossanodon semifasciatus (deepsea smelt). Its description in RNAcentral is "16S rRNA". It matches the Rfam family "Bacterial large subunit ribosomal RNA". Lineage: Eukaryota; Metazoa; Chordata; Actinopteri; Argentiniformes; Argentinidae. The record is from RNAcentral.
GCUAAACAGCUAGCCCCCACAAUUGGUUAACACCACAAUAUAAAUACCCCUACACAACCUUACCAAAUUAAACAAACCAUUUUUCCCCCUUAGUACGGGCGACAGAAAAGGGAAUACGAGCAAUAGAAAAAGUACCGCAAGGGAAAGCUGAAAAAGAAAUGAAACAACCCAUCCAAGCUUAGAAAAGCAGAGAUUACCCCUUGUACCUUUUGCAUCAUGAUCUAGCCAGCAAACCUUAGCGAAGAGACCUUUAGUUAUGGCCCCCGAAACUAGACGAGCUACUCCGAGACAGCCUAUCUAGGGCCAACCCGUCUCUGUGGCAAAAGAGUGGGAAGAGCUCCGAGUAGAGGUGAUAAACCUACCGAGUUUAGUUAUAGCUGGUUGCUUAAAAAAUGAAUAGAAGUUCAGCCCCCUGGCUCCUCCAACCUUUUAAGUUUAUCUUACUCCGGCCCUGAGGAAACCAGUGGAGUUAGUCAAAAGAGGUACAGCUCUUUUGAACAAGGACACAACCUUACUAGGUGGUUAAGGAUCAUAUUAAACAAGGUGUUCUGCUUCAGUGGGCCUAAAAGCAGCCAUCUAUGCAGAAAGCGUUAAAGCUCAAACAGACUACAAACCUUUUAUUCUGAUAAACUCUCCAACCCCCUUUUUUUAUUAAGCCACCCCAUGCCCCCCCCCUGGGAGCGACUAUGCUAGAAUGAGUAAUAAGAGGGAACGACCCUCUCCCAGCACAUGUGUAAGUCGGAUCGGACCCCCCGCCGAUUAAUAACGAACCCAAAAAAAGAGGGUAAUACAAACUAAGUAAUACUAGAAAAACACGUACAUUUAAAUCGUUAACCCCACACAGGAGUGCCCCCAGGGAAAGACCUUAAGGAGAAGAAGGAACUCGGCAAACUCAAGCCUCGCCUGUUUACCAAAAACAUCGCCUCUUGCAAUCCAAGUAUAAGAGGUCCCGCCUGCCCUGUGACCUUGUGUUUAACGGCCGCGGUAUUCUGACCGUGCGAAGGUAGCGCAAUCACUUGUCUUUUAAAUGAAGACCUGUAUGAAUGGCACGACGAGGGCUUAGCUGUCUCCUUCUCCCAGUCAAUGAAAUUGAUCUCCCCGUGCAGAAGCGGGGAUUAACCCAUAAGACGAGAAGACCCUAUGGAGCUUUAGACAAAAGGCAGACCACGUUUAACCCACCUCUUCUAUAGGACUAAACACAGUGCCCCCUGACCUUAAUGUCUUUGGUUGGGGCGACCGCGGAGGAAAACUAAGCCUCCAUGUGGACCGGGAGAACCCACUCCUAAAGUCAAGAGCCACAGCUCUAAGCAACAGAACUUCUGACCAAAAAUGAUCCGGUAACACCGAUCAACGAACCAAGUUACCCUAGGGAUAACAGCGCAAUCCCCUCCCAGAGUCCCUAUCGACAAGGGGGUUUACGACCUCGAUGUUGGAUCAGGACAUCCUAAUGGUGCAACCGCUAUUAAGGGUUCGUUUGUUCAACGAUUAAAGUCCUACGUGAUCUGAGUUCAGACCGGAGUAAUCCAGGUCAGUUUCUAUCUAUGAUGUAACUCUCCCUAGUACGAAAGGACCGGGAAAGAGGGGCCCAUGCUCUAAGCAUGCCCUGCCCCCACCUGAUGAAAACAACUAAAACAGAAAAGGGGGUACACCCCAAAAAGCCCAAGAGAACGGCGC